GGUGUUGCAUGGCUGUCGUCAGCUCGUGUCGUGAGAUGUUGGGUUAAGUCCCGCAACGAGCGCAACCCUCAUCCUUAGUUACCAUCAGGUAAUGCUGGGGACUUUAAGGAAACUGCCAGUGAUAAACUGGAGGAAGGUGGGGAUGAUGUCAAGUCAUCAUGGCCCUUAUGGAGUGGGCUACACACGUGCUACAAUGGUGGCUACAAUGGGCUGCAAAGUCGCGAGGCUAAGCUAAUCCCUUAAAAGCCAUCUCAGUUCGGAUUGUACUCUGCAACUCGAGUGCAUGAAGUUGGAAUCGCUAGUAAUCGUGGAUCAGCACGCCACGGUGAAUACGUUCCCGGGUCUUGUACACACC
Molecule: ribosomal RNA, 355 nt
Filed under: uncultured bacterium
Lineage: Bacteria
Description: bacterial SSU rRNA
Rfam family: Bacterial small subunit ribosomal RNA
Source: RNAcentral